RNAcentral lists this microRNA precursor (77 nucleotides) under Heligmosomoides polygyrus. RNAcentral describes it as "microRNA hpo-mir-10029 precursor". The record is from miRBase by way of RNAcentral. Lineage: Eukaryota; Metazoa; Nematoda; Chromadorea; Rhabditida; Heligmosomidae.
UUCUGGGGGUGCCUCUACUGAACCUUGCAACCUUCUUGGUUCGGUUGAAAGGUUAAGAGAGGCCAGAACUGUCGAAG